RNAcentral lists this ribosomal RNA (484 nucleotides) under uncultured bacterium. RNAcentral's name for it is "partial 16S ribosomal RNA". It matches the Rfam family "Bacterial small subunit ribosomal RNA", at positions 30 to 507 of the family's 1533-position model. The record is from RNAcentral.
AUUGAACGCUGGCGGCAGGCCUAACACAUGCAAGUCGAGCGGAUGAAGGGAGCUUGCUCCUGGAUUCAGCGGCGGACGGGUGAGUAAUGCCUAGGAAUCUGCCUGGUAGUGGGGGAUAACGUCCGGAAACGGGCGCUAAUACCGCAUACGUCCUGAGGGAGAAAGUGGGGGAUCUUCGGACCUCACGCUAUCAGAUGAGCCUAGGUCGGAUUAGCUAGUUGGUGGGGUAAAGGCCUACCAAGGCGACGAUCCGUAAUUGGUCUGAGAGGAUGAUCAGUCACACUGGAACUGAGACACGGUCCAGACUCCUACGGGAGGCAGCAGUGGGGAAUAUUGGACAAUGGGCGAAAGCCUGAUCCAGCCAUGCCGCGUGUGUGAAGAAGGUCUUCGGAUUGUAAAGCACUUUAAGUUGGGAGGAAGGGCAGUAAGUUAAUACCUUGCUGUUUUGACGUUACCAACAGAAUGAGCACCGGCUAACUUCGUG